This is a non-coding RNA of Cicer arietinum (chickpea), 967 nucleotides long. Lineage: Eukaryota; Viridiplantae; Streptophyta; Magnoliopsida; Fabales; Fabaceae. The record is from RefSeq and is a predicted model, not a curated record.
AAAAAAAAAUCCCCUAAAUUAAUAAAAAAAAUUUAGAAAAACACGCGCAACCCAUUCUUUAUCCUUUGAUGCGAGCUUUAUCCUUUAGCCUUUAGCGCGAACUCAUCAUUCACCCUUCAGCGCUUUCAUCCUUCAAAGAAAAAUUGACUGAGACCAAAGUCGAUAUCAUUCAACACAAACAUAGUAUACCAGCAGAGCAUAGAAGCGAAAGGAAGAGAAAAAGUGAGAGAGACAUCGAGAACGAAAACAGUUUCGGUGGGAGUAGUGGUCCUAACUUGGAAACUUCCAACACAGAGAGAUUGGUUUGGUUGAUGAAGUGCACCAUAGCUGUUGCUAAAUCAUUGCAGAAUCAUCCUCCUUCUCAACCUCUUUCUAAAGACACCUUCGUACCCGAGGUCGAAAGCUGCGAGAUCCAACGAGACUUUAUGCUCCCGGUCAGAUGUACCAUAUUGUGGAAAGAAAAUUUUAUAGGUAGUCACUUGCAAACAGUUUUAUUUUCAUACUUAAGUCCUAUGCUAUGACAAAUAUUUUGGGGAUAUACUUGUAAAUUAUGAUUAUUUGUUUUUCUUACUUGGUCUGGUGCAAAUUGUAGUAGCAUUUAUAAAACGUAGGCAAAGAUAUAUGACUUGUGUAACAAAAAAAUGACUGCCAUAAGUUGUGAUUAACUGUGGCUUAGGUAUGACAUAAACACUGUAGUGCUAAUAUGACGUGUUCAAUAUAAUUGAGUGAGAGUAUGAUUCAUGAAAUUUCUUAAACUGUGACUUGUUUAAUAUAAUUGACUUGUUCAACUCAUGUCUUUGUUGAACGGAACACCAUAUUUCAUUAAUUGUAGCUGUUAAGAUGUUGCCCUUUUUUUUUUCUUUUAUUCCUAUUCUUAUCCCUAUAUUCAAGGGAUCUUAAUUGUAAUCUUUUCAUUAUUAUAAAUACAUAAGGCUAGGGGUUAGCCUCAUAAGCAAUAUUUAUUUGA